RNAcentral lists this ribosomal RNA (449 nucleotides) under uncultured bacterium. Its description in RNAcentral is "bacterial SSU rRNA". It matches the Rfam family "Bacterial small subunit ribosomal RNA", at positions 335 to 799 of the family's 1533-position model. The record is from RNAcentral.
ACUCCUACGGGAGGCAGCAGUGGGGAAUAUUGCACAAUGGGCGCAAGCCUGAUGCAGCAACGCCGCGUGAGCGAAGAAGGUCUUCGGAUCGUAAAGCUCUUUUCUUUAGGGAAGAAAACUGACGGUACCUAAGGAAUAAGCACCGGCUAAAUACGUGCCAGCAGCCGCGGUAAUACGUAUGGUGCAAGCGUUAUCCGGAAUCACUGGGCGUAAAGGGUGCGUAGGCGGUUUUGCAAGUCAGAAGUGAAAGGCUACGGCUCAACCGUAGUAAGCUUUUGAAACUGCAAGACUAGAGUGCAGGAGAGGAAAGUGGAAUUCCUAGUGUAGAGGUGAAAUUCGUAGAUAUUAGGAGGAACACCAGUGGCGAAGGCGACUUUCUGGACUGUAACUGACGCUGAUGCACGAAAGCGUGGGGAGCAAACAGGAUUAGAUACCCUGGUAGCACAGAG